CUGGUUCAGGUCAGGAUCUCACCGCUGGUGAGUUCAAAUCCCCACAUCAGGCUCUGUGCUGACAGCUUGGAGUCUGCUUCAGGUUCUGUCUCCCUCUCUCUCUGCCCCUCUUCUGCUUGCACUCAGUUUCUUUCUCUCUCUCUCCAAUAUAAAUAAACAUUAAAAAUUUCUUUAAAAGCCUUUGGCUUCUCAUUCUGAAAGAGUGUGAUCAACAUUUAUAAAUGUAAGGGUUAGGUUAAAGAGAAGCAUGGGAUAACCAUGACCUUGGGUGGAACCAAUUUCAACUAAUGUCCAGAGAUGAGAUUUGAUUGGACUCUUGCUAUAGUCAUUCUUUGAAGUUAUCCAGACCUAAGUCAAUCAGCAUCUUGCAUUGCUUUAUCUAUAGUGAUUAGUUUCGGGGUUGUCCAAUCAUGAGGCCACUUGAGAUUUUCUUGGGAAUUCUGUGUCAUGAGUGCUCUUUCUCCUGGACUGUAAUGUGCUGAUGUAGGGCCUGUCAAUGCAGCAGCUAUUUUGUGACCUCAGAGAUGCCAGCCUGAGGACAACGCUGAAUAUGACAGAAAAUUUCAGAGAAAUAAUUGAACCCAAAUCAAACCAUCUCAAAAGCCCAUUUUAUUUUUGACCCAAGUAUGACUUAAGUCACUAAAUACUUUUAUUUGUUUAAACUAGUUUGAGUUGGGUUUUCUGUUCAAUAAAAGCAUCCUAAAUGAUAAAUCUAUCUGAUAAUUCUAAGAGUUUGAAAGAUCUUGAAACUUAAAAGAGGUAGUGUUGGAUUAAAGAAUGAUUAGAAUACUAGAAAAUUCACAUCUGGAAACUGUAACUCCAAAAAAAUUAUUAUAAUUACAUGCACAGAGAAGGCAAUGAUGUUUUAGAUCAGCAUUCUUGUUUUAAGGACUGCAGUCACCGAAUAACCUUCAAAAUAUUCCCGACCCCUGUGAAAUUCCACACAGAUUUUUAUGUGUAUGCUUACAUGUUUAUUUCACUGAAGAGAAGAUCCAUAGAUUUUAUUGGAUUCUCAAAGAGAUCUGUGACUUCCAAAAAAGGGUAAGACCUUACUCUGAUGAAGAUCAUCUUAUGGCUGACUUUUGAUAUUCAUAUCAGAUAAACAGUAAGCAUACUAUUGGAGUUCUCCUGUCUAUGGGAAGGACAGGGAAGUUACGUUCAGGGAAUAUUAGAAGUUUUACAUUGCUUUUGUAAUAUCUAACCAAUCCCGUUUGUUGAACAAAUAUAUUGUACUGUGUUGGAUGCUCUGGAUGUAACAUGUUGGUGCAUGAGAUCGAACACCCAUCCUUGUAAUUUGGGAAGGAAGAUGGGGACAAAGCACUAUAUGACCUCAGAGCAAGAGCUAAUAGUAGUUAACUAACACCCACAUUCUUACUUGACAUCAAUGUAAAAUUUGAAUGCUUUUAUAAUAUGAUUAUCUAGAUGUUUUGAGCAGAUGUUAGUUGUCAGAUGUUGUACUGGGGGCUCUGUCCUUGUUUUUUUAUUUCAUCCUCAUGGUAAUCCUUAGCUGUUGACAGUUAUUAUUUAUUUUUUGUAGAUAUGAAACUGAAGGAUCAGAGACAUCAAGAUGCUGCUUAUUAGUAGAGUUUCAAAUUCAGGAUUCUUUAUUCAGUUGACAUACUAGAGGAGAGACAUCAUGUGGUUGAAAUCACAUCUCACUCACCAACAUCAGACAUUUCAGGAACAGUGGCCGUGUAAACAUCCUUGAGAAACUGAGGUCAGAGAGGUUAAGGAACUUACCCAAAGUUAAGGACAUGGCAAGGAAGGAUACCAAGAUCUGCCUGACUCCAGUGUCUGUGCUAAUUCACACCAGAGCAUGCUGCCAAACGGCACUCCCCAUGAUGAUUACAAACGUUUCUGGAUUCAUUGUAUUUAUUAUAUUGGACCCCAGGCUAAGUUAUUUGUAAAUUCUAUUGGCACAAAUGAUACAAACUGUAAUAUGUGUUAUUGUUCAUUUGGGAUUUAUCAAUUAAACAAAUGCCUUUUGGUUUAUUCACUGCAUGAAGUUAUUUCCCCAAAAAGGCAUUGUUUACUGCCUUUGGCUUGGCUCUGGAUGUCCAAGGUCUUUGGCAGACUGGGACAUUAGUCUCAGCUCCUGCUUAGUCUAACAUUUUCAUUUUCAAAAAGCCAGUGGUAAAUCAAGCUGAGAGCCAGAUACCCAGUCAAAAAUUGAUUUAGUAAGGCACCGCAACUCACCAGUUACAAUCAUACCUUUUUGCCUUACGGUGCAAUCUUUUUAGUAAUUGCCAAAUCUAAGGACACAUGCGCAUGCACACACACACACACACACACACACACACACACGUUCCUAGUGCCCCUCUCUUAUUUUCCCUCUCACUCCAACACAUACACUUUGGAGGAAAAUAUUAAUACAUAAAUGCAGGCAUUUGAGACAUGAUGACUCAAAUGGCAGACAUUUUUAAAAUUAUGUUUCUCAGUAGCCAAUGGACUUUUCCCAAAAUGUGUUUCUCUUCAAAGGUAAAAAAUAUAUUGGAUAUAAUAUUCUUAUAUUGACUCCUAGGAUCUAAAAAGUUAAAGUUAUAUCUUUAUAAAACAGAUAGUUUGCUUGAGAGAGGGACUAUUUUUCUGUUCAAAUUCUUAACUCUCAAGAAUCCUGUAUGUACUCAAUAAAUAAAAGACUAAACUGAAUUCCAUAACCUGCUCAUAUAACUCAGGUGAGUGAUUCCAGGAGAGGAAAUUAUGAGCUCAUUUGUUUAUUAUUUUUCUUGGAUGGGAACAACCUUAUAAGUUAUGAUUUGAACACUUUUU
Acinonyx jubatus (cheetah) is the source of this 2769-nucleotide long non-coding RNA. RefSeq lists it as uncharacterized. The transcript is spliced from 3 exons. The record is from RefSeq and is a predicted model, not a curated record. NCBI's taxonomy places the organism in Eukaryota, Metazoa, Chordata, Mammalia, Carnivora, Felidae.